RNAcentral lists this ribosomal RNA (98 nucleotides) under uncultured bacterium. RNAcentral describes it as "partial 16S ribosomal RNA". It matches the Rfam family "Bacterial small subunit ribosomal RNA", at positions 1384 to 1482 of the family's 1533-position model. The record is from RNAcentral.
UACACACCGCCCGUCACACCAUGGGAGUUGGUUCUACCUGAAGACGGUGCGCUAACCGCAAGGAGGCAGCCGGCCACGGUAGGGUCAGCGACUGGGUG